UUUUACUGGCGUUCCUACGAUUUUGGCUAAAGAUUCAUGCAAGAUACGUACGCGAAUUGUUCGAUAAAUUGACAUUGGAUCGGUAGUGAACGUGGAACAGGACAAGUUAUAAAGAAAAAUGCUCCCUAAAUUUUUAUAAUGGUCAAAUCCUUAAACGAGAAAGAGAGAGAAAGAGAAAGAGAGAAAGGGGGGAGGAAGAGAAACGCGUUUUGAGUGUAGUAUAAACCUUAUUGAACACAUCGGCGAAUACGAACAGAGUGUUACAAACAAUGUCUGUGAUGCUUUUUUGUAAGAUUUAGGCCCAGUUCAGCAUGAAUAACGAUAAGCAAGUAGAGAAUUAUUCUUUGUGAAAAAUAUUCGUGUAAUCUUAUAAACCUUCGACCUCUAUCAAGACACUACGAAAUGAGACUAAUUCGUCGAUCGAAAGCACAGAACAUGGCCAAAUAAUAAGCAGGCGAUGUGUUUGUAUAUAUAUAUAUAUAUAUAUAUAUAUAUAUAUAUAUGCAUAUAUAUAUAUAUAUAUAUUUUUUUUUUGCAAUCUAGCCAAUAUCAGAAGCAACCUACACGAACGUCAGAAAUCUUCGUAACAUUAAACAACAAAGCCUUUACAAAACGUUCAAACGUAACGAAGGAAAACUUAAACGGAUAAUUACCUCCGGAUCACUCGCUUAUCAACGCAUACACGAAUAAUACACAAAGUACCAUGUUGGGCCUAAAUCAAAAGAUAUGUACAAAGUGCACUACACAGUGGACUUAGAUAUGUCUGUAAAACUCUGACUUACUGCGACGGUGGAGCCAUUUUUUCCGACACCACCGGCAAGAAUGACGGAUAUACUGCUUUGUGCAAGUAAAAUAGCGAUGCCCACGGCGAUCCAUAAUGGAAAGAUCUUGACCUCUGUGCCAGUAUAUGGCAACUGCAUGAGCGAUACGAAACAUCUUUCCGUUAGUUGGCUUCAACAGCAAGCAGAGUGAAUAUUCUUAAUCGCUUUAAUACAUUUCAUUAUUAUAUCUAAGCAUCUUGAGAGAGAAAGAGAGAGAGAGAGAGAAAUUGAAAUAUAUAUGUGCGUGUGUUUGUGUGUAUGUAUAUAUAAAGGAAUGUAAAUAGAAAGAUAAUUAGAAGAAGAGAAAGAGAAAUAAAAUGCCCUUGAAAUGAUUUUCAUUCGAUACAUCCACAAUGAUAGUCAAAAUUUUUAUAUCUGUAUAAUAAAGAACGAAAUAUUGCUCUCCUACUCGACCAUCAUCGCCAUAACCACAAACAGAAUCCAAUUCAGAUACCUCAGCAAUCUCAUAAGAUUAAAAAUAUCGAGUACGAAAUGACGAUAAAUAAAUGACUUUCAACAUCGCAUUGCACAAGAGUGCACCAAGGUACCAGAUAGUACAAGUAAAAGAUAUACCGUAUUCAUCCCUAACAGAGGCAGUUCGAGAUGGUAGGUGCUAGUUAUAUAUGUCCUCCCACAAUGGAAAUGAUUAAUUAGAAAAAUAGAGAAAGUAGGUACUAUGGAUAGGAUAGUUGUAGGAGAGAAAGAGAGAGAGAGAGAGAGAGAGAGAGAGAGAGAGAGAGAGAGAGAGAGAGAAAGGGAAGGAGAGAAAGAGAGAGGGAGAGAGCUAGAUAUUAGAAAGAAAAAGACAGAGAAAGAGGAAAAGAAACAGAGAAAGAGGAAAAGAAACAAAGAAAAAGUGAUUAUCAAGCGUAAGAAACUGUUGCAAAAUUUGGUGAGAAAAGUUUGUUCUAAUCUACACUGGCAGAGGUAACAGAGGUUAAACAUAUUUUUUUCCAGUAUUUUUUUUUUUAAUUUUUUAAAAUACUGUGCGAGCGAUCAAAUCUUUUUUUUUGUUUGGUCUGUUUUGUUUCUUUUUCUUCGAACUUACUGCAAUUGUCGAACCGUUCUUUCCAAUUCCACCGGAUUCAAAGACUUUACAAAAUUGAAGAAAGACGUGCGCGUAGCCCGCGUAAAAUAUCGCUGCCACGUAACAACUGAGUGUGCCCAGACCGAGCAUAGGGAUCUAAACAAAUCCAGAAAAUCUUACUCUUUAAGAAGAUCGUGAAGAGCAGAAGAGAAAAACUUUUAUUCAUCUAAAGAACGCAGACCUUCCAAUUCAUUCCUUUUCGAUUAUCAACGAUUCGACUCUAAUCCGGAAUGAGAUCAAAUAGAGAAAAGCCAAAAAUACUCGAAGAUGAGACGAUUAUGAGGUACAUAACAGCAAAUUACAGCACUCUUCUUCGGUCGCAAUUUAAAAGAAACAUGGAUCAUCAUCAUUGAAGACGAUACAUUAUUCAAUAUCUUUACUAUACUCUUUUUAUAGAGGCAUACUUAAAAGGAAGCACAAUUAAUUGCUAAGUAAAAGUGUAUGUGUUUUCGUCGUUGUCGUAUUGCUGUUAUUGUUACUGUUUAUUUUAUUCUAUAUAGUCGAUCAACAAAAAGAAACGAACGCAAAAGUAUAAGCAGGGGAGAAGACAUGUGGUGGGAAAAACUAAGGAAGAAACAAAUAUUGCAUAAUCUUGUUAAUACGUUAAUUAAUGGACUUCGAUUUGACACCAAUUAAGGUAAUUAUGGGAUUAGCGAUAAUCUCAAAUCGAAAGAGAUUUGACAGAAUGAUAAAUUAUUGGGAAAACCUCGAUUAUUGACGCGAAAUAUAAAAACUAAUCAUAUUGUAAAAUUAAAAAAAUUCUGAUCGAGGAAAAAAAUCUCCUCGAUGAAUAAAUAUUAAAUUUGCGAUAUUAUUACGUCGCUUUUAAAUUCUACACCAAGCACCAAUGAUUAAAAUACAAAAAAAGAAAAAAAAAAAAAAAAAGAAAAUAAUUGCAGCAAAAAUUCUAUAUAUACACUGUAAUAAUACGAAUGAAAGAACGCUUAAGAACCUAUAUUUAUAUACAGAACAAUAAAUUACAUUCGAACGUAACAUCUCUACGUUGUAAAAAUUUUUGAAAAAAUGCAUUUCAUCGUGCAACGUUCAAACGGCUUUAUAACGUCUUGAUACUUUGCAUAAAUGUAAAAUAUCUCUUUUUAGUUCGUAAGAUGACAUACUAAUAAGUUCAUUAAAUAUUUGAAACUUAGACAAAUGAUUGGCGAGGAAUCGUAAUUAUACAAGGAAAUUGAUGAUAUAGGAUCAACGUAAACAAUUCAUUGGGGAAUAUGGAAAUAAAAUGUGUAUUAAGUUGUUAAGUAUUGGCGGUAUAUAGAAGUACUUCCAGCACUGCUCUUCAUGCCAUGCUGAUCCCAUUUCCGUAUGUUCAACCGAAAAAUCUAAUUUUCGAACUUACAGCCACAGUCGAACCAUUCUUGCCCACUCCUCCGGUGAAAAUCACCGAAAAUAUGGAAUAUAAGUUUGCCAGAGCACACACCACUGUCAUAACUCCUAUUAAAUAUUUCAACAGAAAACCAUCAAUGUAUGGUAUCUGGAAGAAAUGUUCACGUUAGACUCAUGAAAAAAUAACACGGAUAUAUUUUUCCAAACUCCAUGAGUCAUUUUCUCUAUUCCUAUUUCCUUAUUUUUAUAUUAUUAUUCAAUUUAUAUGUGUAUAUUUCGUAUUCUUAAUAAAGAAUACGAGAAUAGCACCUUUUGUAAUUGUAAGAUUCGUAAAAAAAAUGAAAAAAAUAAAUAAAUUAAUUAAACAAAAACUGUACGAUAAUAAUAAUCAUAGAUCUAUUUGAGUUAACUCUACUAUGCAAUAUACAUCGGAGGGGUAAUUUUAAUAUUAUUUUGUAUAUAAUACAUCAGCAUGUUAAACAUAUUAUAAAAGCAAGGUUAGCAAUGACUAGCCAAUUCUUAUGAAAUGCUAAGAAAAAUUUGAGCCAUCCUUUUACUACUUAAUUCCUCGCAUAUAUGUUUGCUAACCAUAUAACGCCUAUAUUACUUGUGAUUAUUUGUGCUUCCUUUAUUCAUAAUAAAAAUAAGUUUUCAUAGCAAAUAGAUCAAACUAUUCAUUGUAGUAACUCAAAAUUUUAAAAAGAAAAUAAUAGGAGAAAAUACAGUAAAAUAAAAAUUUUCGAAUAUGUGUGACUCACUACAAAUAAAAUUCAACAAUAUGGAUGAAAUGUAAGAAAAAAAAGAUACAACCUCCAUCAUCCAAAUCUUAGGUCCAAAAAUAGCAGAAACAAGAUGUAUUCCUAUGAUGGUGAACUGAGCUUCUGUUACAUCCACUUUUCCAAAUCUUAAAGAUCCUGUUAAAAAAGAAUAUAUCAAUAUAUAAAAUCAACAAUAAAUAUAUAAAACACUGUAUCUAGUUAUAUCAUAUCUUGGAAAACAAAUUCUGUUUACCUGAGACAUAAGUUUGCCAAUGCGCGCAAUAAAAUAAAGUCAUUGCGCAAAAACAUUGGAAGAACAUCCAUGUUGGAUAAUAUCCCAACUGUACAGCUAUACAUGCGGAUAAUGCUACGAAUACUGAAAAAUACAAAUAAAUGAAAUUAAAAAUAUAAAAUAAUGUUUUAACAUUACAGUUAUAAUAAAAUAAUUACCUGUGGAUAUUGAAUCACAUCCAUGAUCAAAUAAUUCUCCCAAUGGUGUAGACGUACCAGUUCUUCUAGCCUGUUUGCCAUC
Molecule: long non-coding RNA, 4539 nt
Organism: Vespa velutina
Lineage: Eukaryota; Metazoa; Arthropoda; Insecta; Hymenoptera; Vespidae
Exons: 3
Source: RefSeq, a predicted model, not a curated record